RNAcentral lists this ribosomal RNA (2555 nucleotides) under Candidatus Moranbacteria bacterium CG_4_9_14_3_um_filter_40_7. RNAcentral's name for it is "bacterial LSU rRNA". The stretch from base 323 to 2198 matches the Rfam family "Bacterial large subunit ribosomal RNA". Lineage: Bacteria; Candidatus Moraniibacteriota. The record is from RNAcentral.
AAAAAUACUAUUUACACUGAAACAAGUUUGCAAUAAUAAAAUUAUGCAAAGUUGUUUCCGUGUAAAGUCGAACCUUGACAAUUAAAUAGGUCUUAAUCAAAAAUUUAAUUUCAAAAUGUCAGCGGAAAUAGAAAAUUGAAUUUAUUGAUUAGUCACUCAACAUUUUUAAGCAAGAAAUGUUGAGUAUGUAGGUAAAAAUGCAAUAAGUAAAAGUUUAAAUAAGUUAGCAAUAUUUAUUUAGUAAUUGCUAACUGCUAACAUAGCCUCGCGUUGACUGCGCAGAUCUGCGCAAGUCGAGGCGGGCAAAAAAUUAAGAGCGGGAAUACAUAAUGCAUAUGGUGAAUGCCUUGACUCAUACUAGCGAUGAAGGGCGUAGCAGUCUGCGAUAAGCUUCGGGGAGGUGACGAGCAACCUUUGAUCCGGAGAUUUCCGAAUGGGAUAACCCAGCCGCAUUCUUCACUGACGUUCAGAAUGAAUUUUUAAUUUCCAAUUUUUAAAUAAUUUUCUAAUGUCUAAAUUUUUAAACAUUAAAAAUUAAUAUUUAUUUUAAAAAUUAUAAAAUUAAAAAUUUAAAAAUUCGGAGCGUGAGCGAAGAAUGUGGUGAUGGCGUGCUUUUUGUAGAACGAUCCAGCGAGUUAGUUCUAUGUCGUUGACUAAGCAACUUUAUGUUGCGGAGUCGUAGUGAAAGCGAGCCUUAACGGGCGAACUUAAUGGCAUGGACUAGACCCGAAGCCAGGCGAGCUAUUUAUGAGCAGGGUGAAUCCCGAGUAAAAUCGGGAGGAGGCCCGAACCCACCAGCCGUGCAACACUGGGGGAUGACUUGUGAAUAGAGGAGAAAUUCCAAUCGAGCUUGGCGAUAGCUGGUUCUUCCCGAAAUAGCUUGAGGGCUAGCGUUUGAAAACUAUGCUUUGGAGGUAGAGCUACUGAAUGAGAAUUCGUGGUUCGCCAUAGGAUUCUCAACCAAACUCCGAAUUCCGAAGUAAUUAUUCAAGCAGUCAGUACUCCGGGGCUAAGCUCGGAGCACAAAAGGGAAAAAGCCCAUGAUCGCAAUCUAAGGUCCCAAAAUCUAUGUUAAGUGGUAAAGGAAGUAAAGUUUCUUAUACAUCUAGGAGGUUGGCUCAGAAGCAGCCAUCCUUUAAAGAGUGCGUAACAGCUCACUAGUCUAGAAACUUUGCGCCGAAAAUUCAACGGGGCUCAAACAUAGUACCGAAGAUGCGACUUGCUCAUAUCUCAUUGUAUUCGAUAUGAGCACGCGGAUAAAACGCGGAUUAUUGAUAUGCGGAUAUAACGCUGAUAAAAAAUCAGCGUAAAAUCAGCGUUAUGAUCAGCGAUAAAUCAGCGUGCGAACAUCGAGCAUAGCGAGAUGUGAGCAGGGGUAGGGAAGCGUUCCAUAUGCGCUGAAGGUCGAGCGUGAGCAAGGCUGGAGUGUAUGGAAGUGAGAAUGCUGGAACGAGUAACCGCAAUUGGGGUGAGAACCCCCGACACCGAAAGUCUAAGGUUUCCUGGGCAAUGUCAAUCAUCUCAGGGUUAGUCGGGCCUAAGGCGAGGCCGAAAGGCGUAGUCGAUGGACACACGGUUAAUAUUCCGUGACUUUAAUAUUAUUCGAUGGAGUGACAUAUUCUAGUAGUUUUUGCCGAUUAUUGGAUUUUGGUAGAAAUAUUGAAAUGGCUAAACAGGCAAAUCCGUUUAGCAACACAUUAAGAUAUUUCUGGAAUCUCGGUGCAAAUCGGGAGAACAAAAAUGAGCAGGGUAUCGAGAAAAACUUCUAAGAUUAAUAAUAUUAGAACCGUACUAAAACCGACACAGGUAGACUGGGCGAGUAGCCUAAGGUGAACGAGUGAACCUUCGUUAAGGAACUCUGCAAAAUAGCGUCCGUAACUUAGGGAUAUGGACUCCCCGAUGUAAAUCGGGGCGCAGCUAAAGAUAUCAAGCGACUGUUUACCAAAAACACAGGUCUCUGCAAACCCGUAAAGGGAAGUAUAGGGGCUGAUGCCUGACCAGUGCUGGAACGUUAACGGGAGUGGUGCAAGCCAAUCCCCGAAGCGCCAGUGAACGUCAGCGAUAACUAUAAUCGUUCUAAGGUAGCGAAAUUCCUUGACAGGUAAUGACGACAGAUAUUUGCCUGUAUGUUGUAGCGAUAUGACAUUAGAAAUCUGACUAAUAACGGUGAAACCUAAAUCCUAAAGAACUAUGGAUAUGGUAAUACCGUGGGAACUUGCUAUAAUUAUUUUAUAGUAAGACCUGUAACGACUGAAGCGAAAGCUGAGACUCGCGCAAUAUUUAUUCGCGGGUAAUACGUCAGCUCUUGUCGAACAAAAAAACAUAUGGAUUUUGCUUCUUAUGUUUCCGGCUUUAUUGAUGGUGAAGGAUGCUUUUCAGUAUCAUUCAACUUUCGAGAAAAGCUCAAAACUAAAAUUGAGGUUCGUCCGAGUUUUUCAAUCGGACAAAAUAUGCGCAGUUUGGAAAUUUUGAAAAUGAUUCAAAAAUUUUUCGAUUGUGGCAGUAUUCGUUUUUGCAAAAACGAUCAAUGCUAUAAAUAUGAAACAAGAAACAUC